Molecule: ribosomal RNA, 429 nt
Filed under: Chloroflexota bacterium
Lineage: Bacteria; Bacillati; Chloroflexota
Description: Chloroflexi bacterium partial 16S ribosomal RNA
Rfam family: Bacterial small subunit ribosomal RNA
Source: RNAcentral
UGGGGAAUAUUGCACAAUGGGCGCAAGCCUGAUGCAGCCAUGCCGCGUGUGUGAAGAAGGCCUUCGGGUUGUAAAGCACUUUCAGCGGGGAGGAAGGCGUUAAGGUUAAUAACCUUGGCGAUUGACGUUACCCGCAGAAGAAGCACCGGCUAACUCCGUGCCAGCAGCCGCGGUAAUACGGAGGGUGCAAGCGUUAAUCGGAAUUACUGGGCGUAAAGCGCACGCAGGCGGUCUGUCAAGUCGGAUGUGAAAUCCCCGGGCUCAACCUGGGAACUGCAUUCGAAACUGGCAGGCUAGAGUCUUGUAGAGGGGGGGAGAAUUCCAGGUGUAGCGGUGAAAGGCGUAGAGAUCUGGAGGAAUACCGGUGGCGAAGGCGGCCCCCUGGACAAAGACUGACGCUCAGGUGCGAAAGCGUGGGGAGCAAACAGG